RNAcentral lists this ribosomal RNA (256 nucleotides) under uncultured bacterium. RNAcentral's name for it is "partial 16S ribosomal RNA". It matches the Rfam family "Bacterial small subunit ribosomal RNA", at positions 524 to 776 of the family's 1533-position model. The record is from RNAcentral.
UACGAAGGGGGCUAGCGUUGUUCGGAAUUACUGGGCGUAAAGCGUGCGCAGGCGGCUUCUCAAGUCAGGGGGUGAAAGCCCCCCAGCUCAACUGGGGGAAGUGCCUUUGAUACUGGGAAGCUCGAGUCCGGGAGAGGUGAGUGGAACUGCGAGUGUAGAGGUGAAAUUCGUAGAUAUUCGCAAGAACACCAGUGGCGAAGGCGGCUCACUGGCCCGGUACUGACGCUGAGGUGCGAAAGCGUGGGGAGCAAACAGG